AUGUAUGCCAUGGUCAAUUUUAGGGGGAUUAGCCAAGUCCAUAUUCCUGAUAUGUGGAAAAUUCAUGUCCCUCCUAACAUCCAUAUUUUUCUGUGGCUGUUGGCUCACAAUAAGAUGUUAGUGAGGGAUAACCUCAGUAAGAGACAGCAUUUAGAUGACUUGUCUUGUCUGUUCUAUUCUGAAGGUGAAAAUAUCAAUCAUUUGUUCUUUGAGUGUGUUGUUGCUCUGGAAAUCUGGAGAAUUAUUCACUCCAUUAUAAAUUGCCUCCCCUUACCUAUGCUAAAUAGGGUAGCAGAAAUGUGGGGACAAUAUAAUAAGCUAAAAGCUGAGAAUAUUGUCAUUUCAGCUGUCCUCUGGGCUAUCUGGAGAUGCAGAAAUGACAUGUGUUUUAACAACACACGUUGGAUGGGUGUGCAGGUGGUGCUGGGGAGAAUUGCAGGAUACUGCAACUCCUGGAAGAUCCUAUGCAAAGGAAAUGUAAAAGAGCGCGUGGAGAUGUUCACUGCGGCUAUAUGGGAGGAGGCAAGAAAACCACCGCUGCUGCUUUGGCCAGAGCCAGGCUGA
This 564-nucleotide ribosomal RNA is filed under the name Triticum aestivum (bread wheat). RNAcentral describes it as "partial small subunit ribosomal RNA". The record is from RNAcentral. Lineage: Eukaryota; Viridiplantae; Streptophyta; Magnoliopsida; Poales; Poaceae.